This 1107-nucleotide ribosomal RNA is filed under the name Triticum aestivum (bread wheat). RNAcentral's name for it is "partial small subunit ribosomal RNA". Lineage: Eukaryota; Viridiplantae; Streptophyta; Magnoliopsida; Poales; Poaceae. The record is from RNAcentral.
AUGCCGACCUCCUCGCAUGUCGUCGGCGACGGCCUCCCCUCCGGAUCCGCAUCCUCCAUCAUAUCCAGGGUCGUGAGCGGCUACCACUUGCUGAAGAUCGUCGGCUACUCGGGCACCAAGGAGAUCCCCAAUGGCGAGGGGAUCGACUCUUGCCCGUUCCGGGUGGGAGGCUGCACAUGGAAUGUACGUUACUAUCCCAACGGGUUAAGAUCUGAGUACAGUGGUUACAUAGGCCUUUUUCUCUUCUUGAAUGAUACAGUCGCCGGCGAGGCCAAGACCGUGAAGGCAAAAUUCAUGUUCAGCUUACUUGACCAACAUGGGAAGCCGGUGUCAUCGUAUACCGGUACUUCCGACACGAGGGAACUUUCUGCGCAUAAAGGUCACGGGUUUGGCGGAUUUAUGAGAAGGGUUCAAUUGGACGAAUCCGAGCAUCUCAAGGACGAUUCCUUCACGGUCAAGGUCGAUGUCACUAUCAUGAGCGAGUUCCAUACGCAGGAGACACCAUCUAUCCUGGUGCCACCAUCUGAUUUGCACCGGCACUUAGGGGUUCUUCUGUCGAGCAAGGCAGGCGUCGAUGUCAAAUUCCAAGUCGGCGGGGAGACAUUCUCGGCGCACCGAUUGGUACUUGCAGCACGGUCUCCUGUCUUCAGAGCAGAGUUCUUUGGCCAGAUGAGGGAGGGAACCACCACUGAGGCCAUACGCAUAGAUGACAUGGAGGCACCAGUGUUCAAUGCUCUGCUUACUUUCAUGUACACGGAUGCAUUGCCGGAUAUGAAGCAAGAAGAAGAAUAUGCCAUGGCUCAGCAUCUGCUUGUUGCGGCAGACAAGUACAACCUGGAAAGGCUGAAGCUUAUUUGUGAAGAUAAGCUGUGCAAUCGUAUCGAUACGAGCUCUGUGGCGACUAUCUUGGCAUUGGCCGAGCAGCGUCAGUGCCACGAGCUUAAGGCAGCAUGCUUGGUGUUCCUCAGCUCGCCGACGAAUCUGGGUGCGGCCAUGGAGUCUGAAGGUUUCGAGUUUUUAACCAAGAACUGCCCUGGUGUUAUUAAGGAUCUCCUCAAGUCCCAGGUUGCUGCUAGUAUACUUGGGAAAAGAAAUUCUAGGGCAUGA